Molecule: non-coding RNA, 96 nt
Organism: Clostridium sp. CAG:245
Lineage: Bacteria; Bacillati; Bacillota; Clostridia; Eubacteriales; Clostridiaceae
Source: Rfam
UAUGGAGAGUAUCUUGAUAAAGAACUGUGAACCUUGUCAGGUCCGGAAGGAAGCAGCAAUAAGCAGACCUCUUUAUGUAGGGUGCUUUCCAUAGAG